This is a long non-coding RNA of Macadamia integrifolia, 333 nucleotides long. RefSeq lists it as uncharacterized. NCBI's taxonomy places the organism in Eukaryota, Viridiplantae, Streptophyta, Magnoliopsida, Proteales, Proteaceae. The record is from RefSeq and is a predicted model, not a curated record. The transcript is spliced from 2 exons.
GUGACCACUGUGCUUAUACCGCACCAUGAGAUUGUACAUCAUACUUUGACACUUUUGGAUGAUGGUACAGGUACUGUGGUGCCAAUGGCUGGUGACCCAGUAUUUUCUAGGUCAGAGUAUGGUGUGAGCAACUAGUGGAUGCCAGAAGCGGAGGAGCACGAUCAGGACUAUGCUUACGACGCACCGUGAGAUUAUAUAUCAUACUUUGAUAUUUUUGGGUAUAACUGUGGACUGUAUAUUUUUUUUUUGAGAUUAUAUUAUAUGUCAUGGAUGAAUGUAACAGAAUAACUUGGUUAUUGUUAUUAUAUUAUCAUUAGACGUUUCUCCAUUUUA